CGUUAAGCAUCCCGCCUGGGGAGUACGGCCGCAAGGCUAAAACUCAAAGAAAUUGACGGGGGCCCGCACAAGCGGCGGAGCAUGCGGAUUAAUUCGAUGCAACGCGAAGAACCUUACCUGGGCUUGACAUGUUCCCGACGAUCCCAGAGAUGGGGUUUCCCUUCGGGGCGGGUUCACAGGUGGUGCAUGGUCGUCGUCAGCUCGUGUCGUGAGAUGUUGGGUUAAGUCCCGCAACGAGCGCAACCCUCGCCCCGUGUUGCCAGCGGAUUAUGCCGGGAACUCACGGGGGACCGCCGGGGUUAACUCGGAGGAAGGUGGGGAUGACGUCAGAUCAUCAUGCCCCUUACGUCCAGGGCUUCACGCAUGCUACAAUGGCCGGUACAACGGGAUGCGACAGUGCGAGCUGGAGCGGAUCCCUGAAAACCGGUCUCAGUUCGGAUCGCAGUCUGCAACUCGACUGCGUGAAGGCGGAGUCGCUAGUAAUCGCGAAUCAGCAACGUCGCGGUGAAUGCGUUCCCGGGCCUUGUACACACCGCCCGUCAAGUCAUGAAAGUGGGCAGCACCCGAAGCCGGUGGCCUAACCCCUUGCGGGAGGGAGCCGUCUAAGGUGAGGCUCGUGAUUGGGACUAAGUCGUAACAAGGUAGCCGUACCGGAAGGUGCGGCUG
RNAcentral lists this ribosomal RNA (666 nucleotides) under human gut metagenome. RNAcentral's name for it is "bacterial SSU rRNA". It matches the Rfam family "Bacterial small subunit ribosomal RNA", at positions 858 to 1520 of the family's 1533-position model. The record is from RNAcentral.